Long non-coding RNA from Gallus gallus (chicken), 6160 nucleotides. RefSeq lists it as uncharacterized. The transcript has 2 exons. The record is from RefSeq and is a predicted model, not a curated record. Lineage: Eukaryota; Metazoa; Chordata; Aves; Galliformes; Phasianidae.
UGAUGGAGCUGUAGGUGUCCCUGUUCACUGCAGGGGGUUGGAACAGAUGGUUUUUAGGGCCCCUUCCAACUCCAAUGAUUCUGAUUCCGAUUCUUUUACAGAGAAGCUGAUCUGGAUCCCACCACUGGAUUAGCAGAGCUGUGCCCCUUCAGUGUGUUGGUACAGCAUGAGAAACGUGUGAUAAAAGGCACAUAUUUUUGUAUCUGAGUCACCUCUUGCAAACAGAGCAUCACAUUAAUGUUUGUCUAGAAACACCUUCCCUCACAGUAGCCAGCCUUGACCCUUUCAGACGGCGGAGCUAUAAAAAUACAUCCAUAUAAUUUCAGUGGCUGUUUGUGCUGUCUGAACGGCUGCCAGGAGCCGCCUCGGAGCUGCUGCCUCUUGGGGCAAGGACACAAACAGGAGUCUGAACUAUGUCCUCCGCUUCCUCUUGGAGGGUAGAACUGACAAUUUUUAACAAAUUAGAGAGGUUGGCUGAUCACGGGCAGUUCUGUGAUCGGUGCCACGCGCCCGCCAAUGGGCAAGGGCUGUAAAUAAGCAGCACUGCCAUUAACCCAAUGGGGCAGAGCUGAUUUAUACAGGCUAAGGGCUGGGAUGGUUGGAUUUAUGUUGGGCAGUGUGACUCCUGACUCCCAGUUACGUCACUGGGCGCAGGGGAAAGAGAAAGCACAUCUGAGCAAAGGCAACCGCUCACCUUCACAGCUCAGUAUUGGCCCCUUAAUUUCCUACUGAUUAAACUGCAGGAAAACAAAAUCUGCUUUGCCUGGGGCAACUUGGCUUCUGCUCAAGAGCUUCCUCAUCAAAAUGAAAUAUCCUUUGCUGUGAAACAGUUAGCAGGAGGAUGAAUGUAGUUACAAAAGCAGCUAUUUGUAAAACCCAACCAGGGAGCAGUGAUCUGCUGCAAAAUACCAUUAUCUAGAGGGGAAAUCUCUGCAAGAGCCCUGGGGGUCAAAACUUCCCAUAAAGACCAAGUUUCCUUGGGGCUGCCUAUUUAUUGGUUUCCUUCAGCUGAACGUGUUUGCAUAUGGACCAUGCAGAUACAGACACCUUUCCACUGCUAAUGUGGUCCGUGGCUCAUCUAGCACGUGAGCAGACUGGGUUGGCAUGGGGCUGUUGGGCCCUCCAGCUCUUGUCCUGCUGGUGAACUUUAGUGCCCCCCAUCCCAGAGGCCCAUGCUAUGGAACUUAGUGCUUUUCAUCUUGCUCUCUUCAGAUUUGCGUUCCCUGUGCAGUUGAUGGCAUCUCAUUGGGAAGCGCAAUGCAGUGUUGUGACCCUUCAAAUGUCCCCUUACUGUCAUCAGCUGUCUUUGUGCUGGAAAACUCUGUGUGAGCCAAAAAAGCAACCGAAAUAAUCCCAUACAAUGGUGAAUUCACAGCAGGUUGUUUUAAUCCUUGGAAGUAGCCACAAGAGGGAGAUGUGAUUGGAUGUGCCAGAUCAAAGCCUUCAAUAUGCAGAAAUAUUGAGGAGUUGCACACUGAUUCAGAGAUCAUCAGAAAUCCAGGCAGAAAUGUCACUGUAGGACCACGCAGUUCCAGAGUCACCCGUGCUGAAUUUAGGAAGUACUUUUACCAUGGUCAAACUCCUACAGCACAGUGAUCAUUUUUUCCUGAAGCAUCCUUAGUCCCAUUGACAACCCAUUUUUUUCCCUGUGAGUUUUAAUGUCUGAACUACAUUAACUGCUCUGCGUGAAAGAAAGGAAAAUGUCUGCUUCCCCCAAACCCCAACAAAUGAAGAGUGAAAUUUUCAUUUCAAAUUGAUUUUAAACAAGUUUUUGAUCAGUGAACCAAAAAAUCAAUGAUUCAGACAGCAGAGCCGUAAUUAUCUCUCCCCCGAGGGCAGGCGGAUGGAGCGAUGCUGAAGCGUUUUGGAGCUCCUUACAAACAGGCACUGCAUUCUGCAGCCUGGGCUUUAGGCUGAAGCAAAAUAUGUUUUCUGAAGGUGAUCAAUCUGUCCUGUUUCCCAUGGCUGAGAAUCUCUUCCAGUAAAAAUAAACCUCCUCCUCUCCUCUCCUCUCCUCUCCUCUCCUCUCCUCUCCUCUCCUCUCCUCUCCUCUCCUCUCCUCUCCUCUCCUCUCCUCUCCUCUCCUCUCCUCUCCUCUCCUCUCCUCUCCUCUCCUCUCCCAUCCUCUUCUUUCUUUUUUUUUUUUCCUCCCAGUCCUCCAUAAAUGCUAAAAUAAAGAGAUUUGGUGAGCUGGAGUUUUGGGCAGGGACUUGUCAGCGCAGCUAGGGCUGCAGUGCUCCCCUAAGGGAGAAACAGAGGAAAACAGUGUUCUUCUCCUAGCACUGCUUCUGUUAGGUAAUUGCUCGUGCCGCAUCUGGCUCAGCCCAGUCAGUGAGUGCUCGGGGCUGCAAGACCUACUUACACACAAACAGACUGACAUCCAUCUGAGAGUCAUCGUGGGCACAGGGAAACAAUCCUCCCUGAAAUAAAAAGCCUUUUUUGCAGGGCACUGAAUAACCAUUUGGCAAACUGUGUGCCAGGCUGGCACUCACAUUAAUCUGCUUAGGUCAACUAACACAGUUGUGCAAGAGUAGAAAAUACCCGGUCAAGUAAAUUACAUCAUCCAGGGACAAGCUAUUCUAAAGAAAGCACACAUUAUAAGCUUGAGCUUAAUGUUCAGCUGAACAUUUCAGUGUAUUUGCAAGCAGGAGCAUAGGCUUGUUGCUUUCCUUGUGAAAAAAUGAGGGCUCUCUGAAGUUCUUUCUAGCAGAAGAGCAUUGGGCUCAAUUAAUCACCAGUCAACAUCCGGAAUGAAUUAUAAACCCCUUAUAUUUUUUCUCACAUUAGCAGUACCAGAUAUGGAAAAUCCCUGAUCCAGAAGGAAGGAGGCCCCAGCACUGCUGCCCAGAGCUGUGGGUGCCCCAUCCCCGGAGGUGCCCAAGGCCAUGGAUGGGGCCCUGGACAGCCUGAGCUGGGGGGGGGCACCCAGUCCAAGGCAGGAGGUGGAGCUGAGGGGGCUUUAAGGUCCAUUCCAACCCAGUGAUUCUGUGAUUCUUUGAUCCUGUGACUCUGAGAUGCUGCAUAACAUUGUGGACAAGAAACUUUCCCUGCUAAAAUUGGGGCUGACUUUGAAAUGUUUUACUCCUUCUACCAUCAGUACAUCUUUGUGACGACUUGCAUCAUUUGAUACUUGGUUAAAAUCUGUUGUUCUCUCUGCAGUCUUAAAUACAUUUUUAAAAACCGAAGUUUGAGGAGAUGAAGGAAUUUAGAAGCCAUAAGGGGGUCAAAAUGGAAGGUUUUGCCUUGCAGUGAAACCUGAGCUGCCAUCAUCCCAGCACGUCCAUAGGGCACCUUGGAAUCCUGUGCCCCCUUGGCAAGCACAGCGAUGGCCCCAGAAGAAAAACUGCACCCACAGCUGGGUUAUGGUUUUGCUUUUGCAGAAAGUGCUGUAUCAUGGAAGGAGCUCUCCUUCAGUUUUCUGAGGUUUUCUUGAAAGCUCUCCUCUUGCAAAGCUGCUCACUGUGGGUUGAGCCUUAGAUUGCAGUUUGGUCCCAAAUAUGCAAGUGUGUCAUAUAGGGAAUUCCCACAGAAUGGAAUAAAAGUAUAAAAUGUGGUUGGACUGAAACUAUAUUUAGACUUGGUGGCUUUUUAGCCCUGGUUGAACUUUGGCUCGUUAGAAAAUCAGAUUUGUGCUCAAAGUUUUCUUUUUUCUUCCCUUCCCCAAACGUGACUAACUGAGCCCCCAUAGCUUUAAGUACACUUAGAGAGACCAUGCGUUGUUAUCUCAUUUUGGAAUAACCUCUGUUUACCAGCUUUCCCUUCCAUCCCUUUUCAUCCUCUUUUUCCAUCUAAUUCCCCGUAACCUUGAUUCACUUCAGCUUAAACUCACAUGAAAAAAAAAAAGCCACACGAGCAACAAAAAAUAGGUAAAAUCUACGCAAGCGUAAUAGAGCCCUUCAGGAUUUUAUCUGCCUGCUCAUGAGUGGUAGCAGAAGGACUGUUAAGCUAACGUGAAUUUUAAAGCUGGGUAUUGUAUGUUGUACAUUGACUUCUACAGGGAAUGCAUGUGAUCAGUGGGAGCUGGGUGGACAAUCCAUCACUUUAAGGCUUAAUGCAGCUGAAGGGUCGAAGCAGGCAGCACUCAUCAGGGCUCUCACUCUGCCUGCUUCUCUCCAGCUCCUCCUGCCCCUCGUUCAUCUGUUCGAUCUCACUGCCACUCUCAGAGAUGUAACUUCACACCAGAGCUGCAGAUAACUGCAUCUAUCCGCUGUUGCCCGUUUUUUUUAAUAUCCGGUGGCUUUCCCUGAACUGCUGACGUCAGUGAAUCCCUGCACAGAGCAGCGCUGGAUGCAUUUUGUGAGCGUGAGCAGAGGCGUGCAGCUUCAGGGGCAGCUGGCAGCCCAUCAUGCUGCGGGUGACGGGGAGCAGAUCUUUCCUCUGACGGGUCUCUGCGGAAGAACUCAUGGGUUUUAGAGUGUUUCUGCCCUUGAAUGGGCAGCUGCAAACCCCCAACACCACCCAUCCCCUUCCCAGCCCGCAGUGUUACCCCUGUUCUGCUAUUUAUUUGCUCUUUCCAGCUGCAGGUCUCACACUUACCUGGCCCUGCCCUCUGCUCCAGCCCUGGGAAUCACAGAAUCAUUAAGGGUAAAAAGAUCAAUAACGUCUUCUAGUCCAACUAUCAAGCCAUGUCUGUGACCUCCCUAGACCAUGUCACUCAGUGUGACAUCUACCCUUCCCUUGGACACCUCCAGGGACAGUGAUUCCACCACUCCCUGGGCAGCCUGUGCCAAUGCCUCAGCAAAGGUGAGGUGCACCCCUCUGGGUUGCUAUGGGAGUUGCUCACCUUUUGCAUCCAGUGUGAUGUUAUGGUGCAGGCUGUGGCUCCUCAGCAGGUGCAUGGCUAUGGAGCAUGGCCAUGGCUCCUCAGCAGAUCCCCCCACCUCUCUGUGGUGCCUUCUCACUGGGAAGCAGAGCAGUCUGCUGUGGUUAACAGGAGGCACUGUGUUGGUAGCUCCUAUUUUAUUGCUUGUAGAUUUCCAUCCCUUUUCUGAAGCCACUUUGUCCUUGAGUCAUGUGUUCAUCAUCUCUCUGCUCACUGUCACCUCCAUCCUUUUCCCCAUCCCUUGUGCAGCUCAGGACUUUGGGGACUUCCCCAGGACAGCUCAGCAGGACGCCCAGUGAAAGGCUCUCUCCUCCCAAGCUCAACUGUUGCUUUUCACAGAAUUGUAGAAUUAUUCAGGUUGGAAAAGACCUCUGAGAUCCCCAAGGCCAACCCCAGCCCACCCCCACCAUGCCCGCUGCCCACAUCCCUCAGUGCCACAUCUCCACGGUUCUUGAACACCUCCAGGGAUGGUGACCCCACCACUCCCUGGGCAGCUGUGCCACUGCAUCACCACUCUCUUGGAGAAGAUGAUUUUCCUAACCAAAGAAAUUUUUCUACUAAAACAAGCUGGGAUACCAGGCCCCAACCCCGCUCCCACUGAAUUCUCACGACUUUCAAAUAGCUUAUUUCACCACAGAGAAAAUGAAGCUGUCCAUGUUGAUAUGUACAAGAAACAGAGCGGCAGAGGAGAAGCUUUUGCCUGCAAGCUCACACACUCAGCCAAACACAAAAUGUUUUGGAGAAUGGUCCCAUAUUGGUAUCUGGAGAGCUGAUGCUGUCAUCCGCCGCAGGGCCGAACCGGCCUCCUGGCCUCCAUCACACAGCCUCACACAGAGAGCUCAGGCACUGCAUAAAGGCCUGGGAUGGUGUUACAAGGGGACAUGAAGCCUCACGGGGUCUCUGAUGAGUGACAGAUGUUCUUGGCUCCUGAAAGCAGUCAGAAAAGGCAGAGGGCACUAUCAUAGCCAGGCCUGGCAGUCCUCUGCGACCUGUCAGCCAUUUUAUAACACAGGGUUGCUCAUGUCCUCACGCUUUAAUUGCUGUUUAGCAAAGAGGCGUUUGGGAGGAGUUUCCCCAGCAGAAAAGAUUAGAGAGGGCCACCAGAAGGAGAGAUAAUAAUCGAUGAGAUUGACUUUCUCUGGUCAGGGGUGUUGGCUAACUCCUGGAAACGCCAUUUUCCUCAUUCCCCUCCUAUGAGGCUGCAGAAGCACGGCCUGAUUUCUCCGACAACCAGCACUUCUGGCCACAUCCAGUCCCAGGACACCUCCCUGUGUCUAGCACAGGCCACAGCCCUGAGACCAGCAGCUGGGCUGUGUGUGUGGAGCAGAGUUUUUCAGG